Molecule: ribosomal RNA, 441 nt
Filed under: uncultured bacterium
Lineage: Bacteria
Description: partial 16S ribosomal RNA
Rfam family: Bacterial small subunit ribosomal RNA
Source: RNAcentral
CCUACGGGAGGCAGCAGUGGGGAAUAUUGCACAAUGGGGGAAACCCUGAUGCAGCGACGCCGCGUGAGUGAAGAAGUAUUUCGGUAUGUAAAGCUCUAUCAGCAGGAACGAGACAAGACGGUACCUGACCAAGAAGCCCCGGCUAACUACGUGCCAGCAGCCGCGGUAAUACGUAGGGGGCAAGCGUUAUCCGGAAUCACUGGGUGUAAAGGGAGCGUAGACGGCUGUGCAAGCCUGAAGUGAAAGGCGGGGGCCCAACCCCUGGACUGCUUUGGGAACUGUACGGCUGGAGUGCAGGAGAGGUAAGUGGAAUUCCUAGUGUAGCGGUGAAAUGCGUAGAUAUUAGGAGGAACACCAGUGGCGAAGGCGGCUUACUGGACUGUAACUGACGUUGAGGCUCGAAAGCGUGGGGAGCAAACAGGAUUAGAUACCCGAGUAGUC